AUACGUAGGGGGCAAGCGUUAUCCGGAUUCACUGGGUGUAAAGGGAGCGUAGACGGCAUGGCAAGUCUGAUGUGAAAACCCGGGGCUCAACCCCGGGAUUGCAUUGGAAACUGUCAAGCUAGAGUGCAGGAGAGGUAAGUGGAAUUCCUAGUGUAGCGGUGAAAUGCGUAGAUAUUAGGAGGAACACCAGUGGCGAAGGCGGCUUACUGGACGGUAACUGACGUUGAGGCUCGAAAGCGUGGGGAGCAAACAGGAUUAGAUACCCUGGUAGUCCACGCCGCAAACGAUGAAUACUAGGUGUUGGGAGACAAUAGUUUCUCGGUGCCGCAGCAAACGCAAUAAGUAUUCCACCUGGGGAGUACGUUCGCAAGAAUGAAACUCAAAGGAAUUGACGGGG
Molecule: ribosomal RNA, 397 nt
Filed under: uncultured bacterium
Lineage: Bacteria
Description: partial 16S ribosomal RNA
Rfam family: Bacterial small subunit ribosomal RNA
Source: RNAcentral